AUACAGAGGGUGCGAGCGUUAAUCGGAAUCACUGGGCGUAAAGCGCGCGCAGGCGGUCUUUUAAGUUGGAUGUGAAAGCCUACGGCUCAACCGUAGAACUGCAUCCAAAACUAUUAGACUAGAGUGUGGGAGAGGAAGAUGGAAUUAGUUGUGUAGGGGUAAAAUCCGUAGAGAUACCUAGGAAUACCAAAAGCGAAGGCAAUCCUCUGGAACACUACUGACGCUGAGGCGCGAAAGCGUGGGGAGCAAACAGGAUUAGAAACCCUAGUAGUCC
This 274-nucleotide ribosomal RNA is filed under the name uncultured bacterium. RNAcentral describes it as "partial 16S ribosomal RNA". It matches the Rfam family "Bacterial small subunit ribosomal RNA", at positions 523 to 796 of the family's 1533-position model. The record is from RNAcentral.